AUUGAACGCUGGCGGCAUGCCUUACACAUGCAAGUCGAACUGCAGCACGGGUGCUUGCACCUGGUGGCGAGUGGCGUACGGGUGAGUAAUACAUCGGAACGUACCUUAUCGUGGGGGAUAACGCAGCGAAAGUUGCGCUAAUACCGCAUACGCCCUGAGGGGGAAAGCGGGGGACCGUAAGGCCUCGAGCGAUUAGAGCGGCCGAUGUCUGAUUAGCUUGUUGGGGAGGUAAAAGCUCAACAAGGCGAUGAUCAGUAAGUGGUCUGGGAGGACGAUCAGCAGCACUGCGACUGAGCCCAGGCCCAGCCUCCUACGGAGGGCAGCGGUGGGGAAUUUUGGACAAUGGGGGCAACCCUGAUCCAGCGAUACCGCGUGAGUGAAGAAGGCCUUCGGGUUGUAAAGCUCUUUUGUCAGGGAAGAAACAGCAGCUCUAACACAGUCUGCGAAUGACGGUACCUGAAGAAUAAGCACCGGCUAACUACGUGCCAGCCGCCGCAGUAA
This 501-nucleotide ribosomal RNA is filed under the name uncultured bacterium. RNAcentral's name for it is "partial 16S ribosomal RNA". It matches the Rfam family "Bacterial small subunit ribosomal RNA", at positions 30 to 523 of the family's 1533-position model. The record is from RNAcentral.